This 304-nucleotide long non-coding RNA is filed under the name Mytilus galloprovincialis (Mediterranean mussel). The record is from RNAcentral. Lineage: Eukaryota; Metazoa; Mollusca; Bivalvia; Mytilida; Mytilidae.
GAAAAUAAUAUUCACAUUUUACGAAGUAUAGAACAUAUCUUCCAUUUCUGCACGUCGGAGCCAUUAAAAAUAUGCCUUUUUCAUUAAGCGAAAAAAGGAGACGAUCUUUUUCAACUGCAUUUCAAGUCAAUUUGAGCCGCAUGACCCUAUAUAUUUUUUUGGUUGUAAUGCAACACUGGCAUUUCUAGUAACAGGAACUGCUACCCGUUUUCCCUAGUUUGUGUAGUCUUCGAGAAAAAAAAUACGGAACACUAGUGGUACCCUAUGGAAAAUGAAUUACGAAUAAUUGCGCUCUUGUAACCUA